CUUUAAGUAGAGCCUCAUAACGCUUUAACAAAGGGCCCCAUUUCAGUCUCAGGCAAAUCUCAGUUUGACUUUGAAGAGCCACACCUAGGCCAGGUAAUGAAAAGCUGGGGGCUGUAGGCCAUGAGCAGAUGAGGUUUAGCAGACCUUCUAAUCAAUUCCAGGCUGGAGACACAGCACUUCACGUUGCUGCUGCCCUAAAUCACAAGAAGGUGGCCAAAAUCUUACUGGAAGCCGGAGCAGAUACGACCAUUGUUAACAAUGCAGGCCAGACUCCGCUGGAGACUGCCCGCUACCACAAUAACCCGGAAGUUGCUCUUCUCCUUACUAAAGCUCCCCAGGUCUUGCGCUUCAGUCGUGGGCGAAGCCUGAGGAAAAAGAGAGAGAGGCUCAAGGAAGAGAGGAGAGCCCAGUCUGUGCCAAGAGAUGAGGUGGCCCAAAGCAAGGGCAGUGUCUCAGCAGGAGACACACCCAGCAGUGAACAGGCUGUGGCCAGAAAAGAAGAAGCCAGAGAAGAGUUCCUGUCAGCCUCCCCAGAACCCAGAGCAAA
This 547-nucleotide small RNA is filed under the name Pan troglodytes (chimpanzee). Its description in RNAcentral is "retained intron". Lineage: Eukaryota; Metazoa; Chordata; Mammalia; Primates; Hominidae. The record is from RNAcentral.